Molecule: long non-coding RNA, 683 nt
Organism: Tachysurus fulvidraco (yellow catfish)
Lineage: Eukaryota; Metazoa; Chordata; Actinopteri; Siluriformes; Bagridae
Exons: 3
Source: RefSeq, a predicted model, not a curated record
CUGUAACGUUACAGCUGAGAGGUUAGUUGCAUUUUGUGCUUUUUAAUCUAACACAGAUCUGGCAACCAUAAGGAGAUGUUUUGAGUGUGUGCUGAUGUAGGUCAGUGCACCUAUGGGCUUCUCUCUCUCAUGGGUGUGUCUAUGUCUUGUGCAAUAAUGCAGUCCUGAAGUCUGUGCAGGAUGUUGUCCGUGUCACGUCCAGCGUCACGAACGACAUUCUAGGAAAAUCUGGCCGUGAACUCUGCAGAGAACACAAACAUCACUCUGGAAUGUGCGGGAAAAACACAAUGGAAUUGCCUCACGGCAGGUCAAAGGUCAAGGCUGUCCAGCCAAUCAUCACACAGCAUAGAAAAGCAUGGAGAGGAAUGUAAAGAAACUAAACUGACUGGUGCACGUCUCGAACAAUUCAUGCUUAGAGGUUUUUUAGAAUUAUUAUUAUUGGUUUUUUUCAUAGCCUGAAUUGUGUUGGAUUUGUUUACAGCGCCUGAGACUAAAGGCACAGCUGUACACUGAAAAAAGUCCAGGAAAAGAGAAAAGAAUGUCGCUUGUGGAGUUUGAUUGUUCGUUUGAAGUCUUUGAACAGAAAUAGUAAAGAAAACGUCCUUCGUGGUUCAUGACUGCAAACACUGAGCAGGUCACAUGAUCACCCAUAAAUAAAAAAAUAAAAAUAAACAAACAAAUAA